UCAUGCCUUCACUUUGAUAGCGGGAGCACGAGAUGGAAGUUGCUGAUAGCAGGAAAUGAGUGAGGUGACGAAUCCAAAUGCCCCUGUUACCCUUGGAGUGAUCUUCUUGGGUGACAGCUGAAGAAGCCCUACGGCCACCACAACAUCCAUGGCCGCCUUCACCAGUGCUAGCAGCCGUUCAUCCGACUGUUUCAUCUUGCUCUUGUACUGGUCAUUCUCAUAUUUG
Molecule: unclassified non-coding RNA, 226 nt
Filed under: Hevea brasiliensis (rubber tree)
Lineage: Eukaryota; Viridiplantae; Streptophyta; Magnoliopsida; Malpighiales; Euphorbiaceae
Source: RNAcentral